AGCAGCCCAGGGAGCCUCGGAAAGAUGCCCCGAGCAAGCCUUACCUGCAAAAUACAACUGAGCAAGUUAAAUUCCACUUCCCUUGAACACGGAAGCCAGCAGUGCAUUUGUCACAUGGUCACAUCAGCAGACCACAACAACAAGAGCAAUCACCUGGUGAAACAAUCCACACAGAGAUUUGGAAGGAAAAUUUCUUUCAGGUUCAGAUGAG
RNAcentral lists this long non-coding RNA (211 nucleotides) under Parus major (Great Tit). RNAcentral's name for it is "lncRNA (ENSPMJG00000010569.1)". The record is from RNAcentral. Lineage: Eukaryota; Metazoa; Chordata; Aves; Passeriformes; Paridae.